RNAcentral lists this long non-coding RNA (242 nucleotides) under Lathyrus oleraceus (garden pea). RNAcentral describes it as "Pisum sativum (pea) long non-coding RNA (PSAT_LNC000256)". Lineage: Eukaryota; Viridiplantae; Streptophyta; Magnoliopsida; Fabales; Fabaceae. The record is from RNAcentral.
GAUCAUUCAUUUAUAGAUUACUAAUGACCAUAUUAUUUUAACUAACAAUUAACUAUUGGAACCUAAACUCACAAUUCUCCACUCUGCAUUUGCAUUUAGUGUAUGAAUUUGACUGCUAGAUUCUUUAGAGAACAACAAAAAUGGAAGCAAUUCCUUGAAAACCAAUUUCAAGAUGCAAGUUGGCUCUGAGAGUUACUGAUUCGAGUAGCAUAGUAUUUAGCAAUGAAAUCAGAAGCUUUCCU